UAAGGUCACACAAAAGACCCCCCGAGUGGCGUGAGAAGACUUCCAAAUGCCCCAGCGGUUGUCCGUCAAAAGAAAUCGAAGAUGAGAAAAAGCAAAAUUAAUCCCAUUUUGAAACCUAGGGUUACUUUGUCACUAAUUUCCUUGACCACAGUAAUAGAAAAAUACCCUCCAUUCACAGAUCAUAUAUUUGUUUGCUAUCAUAGUUCUGACAGACGAAUAUAAAACCUGAGUGGCAUAUCACCGCACCACAAAAGCCAAAGGAACGCCGCGCGGACAGCAUCGAACGUAAGCCUAACAAUUCUGAGCGCGUUCAUCAUGGAAAAAGUUACAUCACUAGUGAUAUUCGCUGCCUUCUUUGCUCUAACCUGUUCAUUCCCAAGCGAAGAUAGAGAUUUGACAGAAAAUGAAUGGAUGGAACAAACCCUACGUUAGUACAAUAAGUAACUUUUUAAACAUAACUUUAACUUCUUCUGUUCUUUUGGUUUUCCUUUCCUUUUCUUCCAAUGGAGAAAGUUGUGUCGAAAGAAAAUAGAUAGGCAGCGAGAUUGAUUAUUCUAUCGCCGAAACUGCACGAUUUGAAAGUUGUGAUUUCUUCGUUUCAAUUUACUUCUGGAAGAGAUGUUCGUUGAUUGC
Molecule: long non-coding RNA, 633 nt
Organism: Orbicella faveolata
Lineage: Eukaryota; Metazoa; Cnidaria; Anthozoa; Scleractinia; Merulinidae
Source: RefSeq, a predicted model, not a curated record